AUUGAACGCUGGCGGCAGGCCUAACACAUGCAAGUCGAACGAGUGGCGGACGGGUGAGUAAUGUCGGGGAAAAUGCACGAUGGAGGGGGAUAACUACUGGAAAAGGUAGCUAAUACCGCAUACCAUCGGAUGUGCCCCGAUGGGGUUAGCUAGUAGGAGGGGUAACGGCUCACCUAGGCGACGAUCCCUAGCUGGUCUGAGAGGAUGACAAGCCACACUGGAACUAAGACACGGUCCAGACUCCUACGUGAGGCAGCAGUGGGGAAUAUUGCACAAUGGGCGCAAGCCUGAUGCAGCCAUGCCGCGUGUAUGAAGAAGGCCUUCGGGUUGUAAAGUACUUUCAGCGAGGAGGCGUUACUCGCAGAAGAAGCACCGGCUAACUCCGUGCCAGCAGCCGCGGUAAUUC
This 406-nucleotide ribosomal RNA is filed under the name uncultured bacterium. RNAcentral describes it as "partial 16S ribosomal RNA". It matches the Rfam family "Bacterial small subunit ribosomal RNA", at positions 30 to 526 of the family's 1533-position model. The record is from RNAcentral.